UCACCCUUCUAGGUGCUGAGGACCAGGAUGGGGAUGGAGAAGGAUCCAAGACAGCUCUUCGGCCUCUGAAACACUCUGAAAACAAAGAAGAUGACGGACAAGAAAUAGCUUGACUGGAAGCUGCUGCCCUUCCCUGGUGGGGGGGCCCACCCUCUGGCUGUAUUGAGCCUCAAUGUGAGCCCUGCCCCCAAUGAAUGGGUUUUGUUCCACAGAUCUACCCAUUCUUUAGAGGACGUGGUUUACAGGCUACCCACAGCCUUAUUUUCCCAAUGGACUUAAUUCCCAUCAUCCUGAAGCCUCCUUUCUCCAGUGACACGAUACACGAACCAUC
RNAcentral lists this long non-coding RNA (331 nucleotides) under Rattus norvegicus (Norway rat). RNAcentral's name for it is "long non-coding RNA NONRATT028641". The record is from RNAcentral. Lineage: Eukaryota; Metazoa; Chordata; Mammalia; Rodentia; Muridae.